AGAGUUUGAUCCUGGCUCAGGAUGAACGCUAGCGGCAGGCUUAAUACAUGCAAGUCGAGGGGCAGCGCAGUGUAGCAAUACAUGGGCGGCGACCGGCAAACGGGUGCGGAACACGUACGCAACCUUCCUUUAAGUGAGGGAUAGCUUUCGGAAACGAAAAUUAAUACCUCGUAACAUCGUUGGAUGGCAUCAUCUGAUGAUUAUAGCUCCGGCGCUUAAAGAUGGGCGUGCGCCUGAUUAGGUAGUUGGCGGAGUAACAGCCCACCAAGCCUACGAUCAGUAACUGGUGUGAGAGCACGACCAGUCACACGGGCACUGAGACACGGGCCCGACUCCUACGGGAGGCAGCAGUAAGGAAUAUUGGUCAAUGGACGCAAGUCUGAACCAGCCAUGCCGCGUGGAGGAUGAAGGUCCUCUGGAUUGUAAACUUCUUUUAUCGGAGAAGAAACCCUCAAAUUCUUUUGGGGUUGACGGUACCCGAUGAAUAAGCACCGGCUAACUCCGUGCCAGCAGCCGCGGUAAUUC
This 525-nucleotide ribosomal RNA is filed under the name uncultured bacterium. RNAcentral's name for it is "bacterial SSU rRNA". It matches the Rfam family "Bacterial small subunit ribosomal RNA", at positions 8 to 526 of the family's 1533-position model. The record is from RNAcentral.